AUUGUUUGGAAUGCUGGGUUGAGUCCCGGCUGGACCGCGCCCCUCUCGGAAGUGUAGCCAGGAGUAGGGGUGUAGGAUGUGCAGCUGUGACCCGUCCCUGUGGACUGAAGAUUUGUAGUUUUUUGACAGGGGAAAGGAGGAGUGUUUCCUUGUUCUGCUUUUCCAGAAUCCUGCCCUUUCCAAAAGGAAGACGGUAUGAUUAAGUUCCAGGAAAGGGUGACAUUCAAGGACAUAGCUGUUAUCUUCACCAAGGAAGAGCUGGCAGUAUUGGAUAAAGCCCAGAUAAACCUGUACCAAGACGUGAUGCUGGAAAACUUCAGGAACUUCAUCUCAGUGGAGUCUUGCUCUGUCACCAGGCUGGAAUGCAGUGGCAUGAUCUUGGUUCACUGCAACUUCUGCUUCCUGGGUUCAAGUGAUUCUCCUGCCUCAGCCUCCUGAGUAGCUGGCAUUACAGGAGCCUGCCACCGUGCCCAGCUAAUUUUUGUAUUUUUAGUAGAGAGGAGGUCUCAUCAUGUUGGUCAAGAUGGUCUCCUGAUCUCAUGAUCCACCCACCUCAGCCUCCCAAAGUGUUGGGAUUACAGGUAUGAGCCACCAUACCCAGCCCAUUUUUGUUUAUUCUCAAACCACUAUCUCACAUCUUUAAGAAUGAUACUUUUGGUACAAGGCAAGUAACAGUGAAUAUGCUAAGUGUAUGUUUAACUUUACUAUUUCUAAAAAUGACUAUACCACUUCAUACUUCCAUUAGCAGUCAAUGCAAGAUCACUUGUUCUACAUGCUAACCAAUACUUGGGAUUUUUAGUCAUUGGGAUUAUUUGUAGUGUUAUCUCACUGUGGUUUAAUUAGCAUUUCCCUGAUAAGUAAUGAUGUGGUUAUCAGUCAUUUUAUCAUGUGCUGAUUGGUCAUUUUAUAUCUUCUUUGGAAAAGAACUUUUGAAAGUUUUGCUUCCUUACUGUUGAGUUGUAAGAUUUCUUAAUAUAGCCUAGAUACAAAUCCUUUCUCAGAUAAAUACAUUAUUAAUAUUUUUUCCU
RNAcentral lists this long non-coding RNA (1028 nucleotides) under Homo sapiens (human). RNAcentral describes it as "novel transcript". The record is from RNAcentral. Lineage: Eukaryota; Metazoa; Chordata; Mammalia; Primates; Hominidae.